The sequence is a non-coding RNA, 185 nucleotides long. It matches the Rfam family "6S / SsrS RNA". Rfam says of the family: E. coli 6S RNA was the first non coding RNA to be sequenced, but its function was unknown until recently.
GCUUCCCUGCAGCGUACGUGGGUUCUAAGGUGAUUUGAGCCAACACCCGAACAUUGGGAGCGGAACUCUCGCAUACGUGUGAAUGCCAGGCUUCGGCCAGGAAUCCUGAUAUGCGAGGUCAGAGGGGUUCCCACCUGCGAAAGCAGGUUCAAUGAUCAAGGAUCUACGGCUCUUGCGGGGAAGUU